ACAAGUCUGUGUCAUCAGAUAUCCUACUGAAAUGAAGGAACUGUCACGCUCCUGGGUCUUUUGACCCAGCGUUUUGAGUUUUCAUUUAUUUUGAUGUUAUGGUUGUUUAAGUUCAUUAGCUUACCUAUGUUCAUUUACUUAUUAGUUUCCCCUUGUGUUUUCAACCCCUGUGAAGUCUCCCUUGCCCUUCAUGUGUUUCAUGUCUGUGUCUUAUGUUGUCAAGUUCAUGUUGUCAUGUCUGUGUCUCAUUAUGUUUCCUGUUUUAUUUUGAAGGGGUCGUGUGUUCCUAUGUUCAAUGUUUUUAGUUUUACACUCCCCUUGUGACAUCAUGAUGUUCAUGUGAGUCAGCUGUUUCCCCGUGUGUUGCCGCUUCCCUCAUUAGCCUCCUGUGUGUAUUUAGUCCGUGUGUUGUCAGUCUUUCCUUGUCAGAUCGUUUGCUGUGUUCAUGUGAUGCAUCCAGGUUUUUCCCAGGUUUCCAUGCCAGGUUCCAUCUGUAAGGUUUUUCUAUGCGUUAAUCUUAGUUCACCCAGUUUAGUUUGUUUAGUUUUACCUUUGCCUUUUGUUUUGUACUUCUUUGCCAGCCCUUACUAAACUGCUCGUCCACGUCACGUCUUCAAGUAUCCAUCAUCUUCAUCACUGAAGCGCGAACACAGAUGGAGCCUGUUGAAGUGGUAAUGUGGAUUGACGUCUGUGUCUGCCUUCCUUUGACCAUACUGAUCAUCUAUUGUAUGUGCUGUGCGAGACGAAGGGAUCCAGGCCCUGCCCCCUAUUAUAUAUACCUCCUGGUUUCCAAUCUAAUCCAGCUCUGUGCUCCAGUUCUUUGGCUGGCUAAACUGGAAGACCAUCAUCAGCCCACCGGUGUCUGUGGAGUGUUUUUCUUCUUCGGUGUUACAACUAGUCUCAACUUCAAAACCUGCAUUGUUCUGGAAAGGUAUUUUUUCAUCUCCUGUCCAAUGUUGAACUUCAUAAGAAAAACUAAAGGUUCUAUUUUGGUCUCUGUUCUGGUCUGGACCAUGUGUGUUAUCACUCUCUUUCUUGCAAUAUUACUACACCAAGUUGAACGCAUCUAUUUUUUUACCUUCUACCCUGCCCCUCUGUUCAUUCUUUGUUUAGCUGGGACCCUCAAAGCUCUGCCUGCUGCCACCUCAGUUCCUGCUGAGGAAAAACGAAGAAUUAUAGGAACUUUGUUUCUGUUGCACCUGAAUUACUUUGUGUUGGUCUUACCUGCAGUAAUUCUGUUAUCUUUUGUCAGAAAUGUAAGUUUGGCCAUGAUCCUGCUCAGUCCUUUUGUGGACUUGAUGCUAUUUUGUUUCAUGCAGAAAGGGCCUGUUGACAGUUUGCUCUCAUGUCUGUGCUGCUGCAGUAUGAACAACACUGCAGCAGAUGUCAGCAGCAGAUCACCAGUUUAACUGAUUUUAGCAGACACAGGUGGGCUUGUGUUGGCAAAAACAAAGUGAGAAUGAAAAGGGGAACAUGUGAUGGGACAGAUGCAGAGAAAUUUAAAAAUAAAGAUGGACUAUGUGCACACAAACACACAGAGGAAUGCAAACACAUAGUGUGUAAACAGUUGAUGGAAAUGUCAUGUAUAUGUUUUAUGAUAUUUUUUGGCUUAUUUCAUCAUCUUCAAAACAUUUAUUUCUUUAAAUGUCCACAGCAUGUAUACAUAUCUGCACAAUUUCUUUUACAAUUUCUGAAUUUGAUUCAAGAAUCUUUUACAAUCUCUACAUAAUUUUAGUUUUACUUUUAUGAUACUUUGUUUCUGUCAAACCCAUUUUUUUUAAUUCAUUUUGCACAUUUGUGACUUGACCAAAUCCAGUAGCUCCUUUAGAUUCCACCUGAACAACAAGUAAAUAUUUGUGUCAGCUACAAACAAUAAUUUGAAUACAUCUUUUACUAUCUAAAUUCAUGGUCACAUGUUAAGAGAAGAUACAGAGAUCUGAAAUCCUGUAAAGAAAUUUGGCUUAGUUUUCUGUACUGACAAUGUGACACAUUAUAACAUGAUCCUUGUCCAAUACAUUUUACAUGACCUUCAUGUAUGCUUUUUAUUCUUACAAACAUAUUCAUUAAAGGUACACUAGAUGGAGACAUCAAGUUUUCAUAAAUGAUGAGUUCAGAGGCUAGUGGUAUGAUAGUAACUACCUUUCCAGUAUCGAUUUAAUCUUUGAGGUGCAGGGAAAGAACACAGACGAACCAGCAAUCCACAUGAGAAAACACAGGGCUUAAAUACACACAGGGCAAUCGGGGAAUGGGAGACAGGAGGGAGACAAGGCUGGGAUUAAUAGGACAUAACGGGAAAACUGGAAGCAAAACUAGAAACAUUGACAAGAGAAACAAACCUUCAAAAAAAAAAAACAGGAAACACACCACGAAACCUCUAAACAUGCAAACUUAACACAGACUGGGGAGACGGAACAUAGGAACUUGAAACAUGGAACAGAAGAGCAGAGAGGACACAAAACACUAGGGAUAAUCACAAACAACCCAACAUGAACAAAACCACAGAAUAUUAAAACACUCAAGCAUAAACACCAAGUCCACAGACUCUGGACCAUAACAGGAAUAUUGCUAUAAGGCUACUACUAGAAUCAAACUUUCAAAGUUUGAAUCAAAGAACAGGGUCUGUAACAAAACAAUUUCCCAGUUUGGAGAGAAUAAAUUACUCUUGAUUCUGAACAUUAUGUCUACAAAAUGGUUUCUGGUCCCUGUUCUUAUAAAAAGGUGGACUGAAGCUUUCAUUCCAGAGUUCUGUGUCAUAGUUCUCUUUGUUCCCUUCAUGUCCACUCUGUCCAAGUCUCAUCUUUGUGUUUUGCUCUUUCAUUUUCCUCAGUUAUGUAACUGUGGCUGUCUCCAGCUUGUUCCACCAACAGUUCCCACCUAUUGCCAUCCUCUCGUUACCUAAUGUGUCCUUAAUUCCUUAGUGACGAGCAAGUUUGGGAACCAAACUCAGGACUCCAAAAGGACAAAAGGUUGAAUUGAAAAAGCAAAAAACAGAUUUAUUGCUGGCCCCUCUGAAAGUGCCAGGAAUCCUGGUCGAGAGUAAAUAAUCCUGAACACAGGAAACACUCUUGAGGAAGAACACAGACCAUCAGAGGAUGACGAAACAAGGAACAGAGGGACACUGGGACAUAGCAGACAUGGAUACGUGACAGACUGGGGGAUAAGAGAAAGAAUACAAAGACA
Oreochromis niloticus (Nile tilapia) is the source of this 3180-nucleotide RNA transcript. RefSeq lists it as uncharacterized. The record is from RefSeq and is a predicted model, not a curated record. The transcript has 4 exons. NCBI's taxonomy places the organism in Eukaryota, Metazoa, Chordata, Actinopteri, Cichliformes, Cichlidae.